Mycena rebaudengoi is the source of this 93-nucleotide non-coding RNA. The record is from the annotation of a GenBank genome assembly. NCBI's taxonomy places the organism in Eukaryota, Fungi, Basidiomycota, Agaricomycetes, Agaricales, Mycenaceae.
GGCCCGGUGGUGUAGUUGGAAACAUGUCCUCUUUGUGUGGCACAUUAUCUUCUGGGUAUGAGGAAGUCCCUUGUUCGAGUCAAGGUCUGGCUG